RNAcentral lists this ribosomal RNA (2600 nucleotides) under Escherichia coli. Its description in RNAcentral is "partial 23S ribosomal RNA". It matches the Rfam family "Bacterial large subunit ribosomal RNA", at positions 354 to 2925 of the family's 2925-position model. The record is from RNAcentral. Lineage: Bacteria; Pseudomonadati; Pseudomonadota; Gammaproteobacteria; Enterobacterales; Enterobacteriaceae.
GCGAUACAGGGUGACAGCCCCGUACACAAAAAUGCACAUAUUGUGAGCUCGAUGAGUAGGGCGGGACACGUGGUAUCCUGUCUGAAUAUGGGGGGACCAUCCUCCAAGGCUAAAUACUCCUGACUGACCGAUAGUGAACCAGUACCGUGAGGGAAAGGCGAAAAGAACCCCGGCGAGGGGAGUGAAAAAGAACCUGAAACCGUGUACGUACAAGCAGUGGGAGCCUCUUUAUGGGGUGACUGCGUACCUUUUGUAUAAUGGGUCAGCGACUUAUAUUCUGUAGCAAGGUUAACCGAAUAGGGGAGCCGAAGGGAAACCGAGUCUUAACUGGGCGUUAAGUUGCAGGGUAUAGACCCGAAACCCGGUGAUCUAGCCAUGGGCAGGUUGAAGGUUGGGUAACACUAACUGGAGGACCGAACCGACUAAUGUUGAAAAAUUAGCGGAUGACUUGUGGCUGGGGGUGAAAGGCCAAUCAAACCGGGAGAUAGCUGGUUCUCCCCGAAAGCUAUUUAGGUAGCGCCUCGUGAAUUCAUCUCCGGGGGUAGAGCACUGUUUCGGCAAGGGGGUCAUCCCGACUUACCAACCCGAUGCAAACUGCGAAUACCGGAGAAUGUUAUCACGGGAGACACACGGCGGGUGCUAACGUCCGUCGUGAAGAGGGAAACAACCCAGACCGCCAGCUAAGGUCCCAAAGUCAUGGUUAAGUGGGAAACGAUGUGGGAAGGCCCAGACAGCCAGGAUGUUGGCUUAGAAGCAGCCAUCAUUUAAAGAAAGCGUAAUAGCUCACUGGUCGAGUCGGCCUGCGCGGAAGAUGUAACGGGGCUAAACCAUGCACCGAAGCUGCGGCAGCGACACUAUGUGUUGUUGGGUAGGGGAGCGUUCUGUAAGCCUGUGAAGGUGGCCUGUGAGGGUUGCUGGAGGUAUCAGAAGUGCGAAUGCUGACAUAAGUAACGAUAAAGCGGGUGAAAAGCCCGCUCGCCGGAAGACCAAGGGUUCCUGUCCAACGUUAAUCGGGGCAGGGUGAGUCGACCCCUAAGGCGAGGCCGAAAGGCGUAGUCGAUGGGAAACAGGUUAAUAUUCCUGUACUUGGUGUUACUGCGAAGGGGGGACGGAGAAGGCUAUGUUGGCCGGGCGACGGUUGUCCCGGUUUAAGCGUGUAGGCUGGUUUUCCAGGCAAAUCCGGAAAACCAAGGCUGAGGCGUGAUGACGAGGCACUACGGUGCUGAAGCGACAAAUGCCCUGCUUCCAGGAAAAGCCUCUAAGCAUCAGGUAACAUCAAAUCGUACCCCAAACCGACACAGGUGGUCAGGUAGAGAAUACCAAGGCGCUUGAGAGAACUCGGGUGAAGGAACUAGGCAAAAUGGUGCCGUAACUUCGGGAGAAGGCACGCUGAUAUGUAGGUGAAGCGACUUGCUCGUGGAGCUGAAAUCAGUCGAAGAUACCAGCUGGCUGCAACUGUUUAUUAAAAACACAGCACUGUGCAAACACGAAAGUGGACGUAUACGGUGUGACGCCUGCCCGGUGCCGGAAGGUUAAUUGAUGGGGUUAGCGGUAACGCGAAGCUCUUGAUCGAAGCCCCGGUAAACGGCGGCCGUAACUAUAACGGUCCUAAGGUAGCGAAAUUCCUUGUCGGGUAAGUUCCGACCUGCACGAAUGGCGUAAUGAUGGCCAGGCUGUCUCCACCCGAGACUCAGUGAAAUUGAACUCGCUGUGAAGAUGCAGUGUACCCGCGGCAAGACGGAAAGACCCCGUGAACCUUUACUAUAGCUUGACACUGAACAUUGAGCCUUGAUGUGUAGGAUAGGUGGGAGGCUUUGAAGUGUGGACGCCAGUCUGCAUGGAGCCGACCUUGAAAUACCACCCUUUAAUGUUUGAUGUUCUAACGUUGGCCCGUAAUCCGGGUUGCGGACAGUGUCUGGUGGGUAGUUUGACUGGGGCGGUCUCCUCCUAAAGAGUAACGGAGGAGCACGAAGGUUGGCUAAUCCUGGUCGGACAUCAGGAGGUUAGUGCAAUGGCAUAAGCCAGCUUGACUGCGAGCGUGACGGCGCGAGCAGGUGCGAAAGCAGGUCAUAGUGAUCCGGUGGUUCUGAAUGGAAGGGCCAUCGCUCAACGGAUAAAAGGUACUCCGGGGAUAACAGGCUGAUACCGCCCAAGAGUUCAUAUCGACGGCGGUGUUUGGCACCUCGAUGUCGGCUCAUCACAUCCUGGGGCUGAAGUAGGUCCCAAGGGUAUGGCUGUUCGCCAUUUAAAGUGGUACGCGAGCUGGGUUUAGAACGUCGUGAGACAGUUCGGUCCCUAUCUGCCGUGGGCGCUGGAGAACUGAGGGGGGCUGCUCCUAGUACGAGAGGACCGGAGUGGACGCAUCACUGGUGUUCGGGUUGUCAUGCCAAUGGCACUGCCCGGUAGCUAAAUGCGGAAGAGAUAAGUGCUGAAAGCAUCUAAGCACGAAACUUGCCCCGAGAUGAGUUCUCCCUGACUCCUUGAGAGUCCUGAAGGAACGUUGAAGACGACGACGUUGAUAGGCCGGGUGUGUAAGCGCAGCGAUGCGUUGAGCUAACCGGUACUAAUGAACCGUGAGGCUUAACCUUACAACGCCGAAG